ACUCGAGUGGCGAACGGGUGAGUAACACGUGGGUGAUCUGCCCUGCACUUCGGGAUAAGCUUGGGAAACUGGGUCUAAUACCGGAUAGGAGCCAUCUUUAGUGUGGUGGUUGGAAAGUUUUUUCGGUGUAGGAUGAGCUCGCGGCCUAUCAGCUUGUUGGUGGGGUAAUGGCCUACCAAGGCGGCGACGGGUAGCCGGCCUGAGAGGGUGUACGGCCACAUUGGGCUGAGAUACGGCCCAG
Molecule: ribosomal RNA, 241 nt
Filed under: uncultured Actinomycetales bacterium
Lineage: Bacteria; Bacillati; Actinomycetota; Actinomycetes; Actinomycetales
Description: partial 16S ribosomal RNA
Rfam family: Bacterial small subunit ribosomal RNA
Source: RNAcentral